UACGUAGGUGGCAAGCGUUGUCCGGAUUCACUGGGCGUAAAGCGCGCGCAGGCGGCUACUUAAGUCUGGGGUGAAAACCCGGAGCUCAACUCCGGGAUGGCCUUGGAUACUGGGUAGCUUGAGCAUCGGAGAGGCAAGGGGAAUUCCACGUGUAGCGGUGAAAUGCGUAGAUAUGUGGAGGAACACCCGUGGCGAAGGCGCCUUGCUGGCCGAUUGCUGACGCUCAGGCGCGAAAGCGUGGGGAGCAAACAGG
Molecule: ribosomal RNA, 253 nt
Filed under: uncultured bacterium
Lineage: Bacteria
Description: partial 16S ribosomal RNA
Rfam family: Bacterial small subunit ribosomal RNA
Source: RNAcentral